GGCGGCGUGCUUAACACAUGCAAGUCGAACGAUGAAGCCCUUCGGGGUGGAUUAGUGGCGAACGGGUGAGUAACACGUGGGCAAUCUGCCCUUCACUCUGGGACAAGCCCUGGAAACGGGGUCUAAUACCGGAUACGAGGUUUCGCAGGCAUCUGUGAACUUGGAAAGCUCCGGCGGUGAAGGAUGAGCCCGCGGCCUAUCAGCUUGUUGGUGAGGUAAUGGCUCACCAAGGCGACGACGGGUAGCCGGCCUGAGAGGGCGACCGGCCACACUGGGACUGAGACACGGCCCAGACUCCUACGGGAGGCAGCAGUGGGGAAUAUUGCACAAUGGGCGCAAGCCUGAUGCAGCGACGCCGCGUGAGGGAUGACGGCCUUCGGGUUGUAAACCUCUUUCAGCAGGGAAGAAGCGAGAGUGACGGUACCUGCAGAAGAAGCGCCGGCUAACUACGUGCCAGCAGCCGCGGUAAUACGUAGGGCGCAAGCGUUGUCCGGAAUUAUUGGGCGUAAAGAGCUCGUAGGCGGCUUGUCACGUCGAUUGUGAAAGCCCGAGGCUUAACCUCGGGUCUGCAGUCGAUACGGGCUAGCUAGAGUGUGGUAGGGGAGAUCGGAAUUCCUGGUGUAGCGGUGAAAUGCGCAGAUAUCAGGAGGAACACCGGUGGCGAAGGCGGAUCUCUGGGCCAUUACUGACGCUGAGGAGCGAAAGCGUGGGGAGCGAACAGGAUUAGAUACCCUGGUAGUCCACGCCGUAAACGGUGGGAACUAGGUGUUGGCGACAUUCCACGUCGUCGGUGCCGCAGCUAACGCAUUAAGUUCCCCGCCUGGGGAGUACGGCCGC
This 837-nucleotide ribosomal RNA is filed under the name Streptomyces sp. IM-6951. RNAcentral describes it as "bacterial SSU rRNA". It matches the Rfam family "Bacterial small subunit ribosomal RNA", at positions 38 to 889 of the family's 1533-position model. The record is from RNAcentral. Lineage: Bacteria; Bacillati; Actinomycetota; Actinomycetes; Kitasatosporales; Streptomycetaceae.